AAUACUUAAAAAUUGUGCUAUUAUUUUUUCCCUAGUACUCAAUAUGUGAUAAAACAACAAUACUUCAUUUUAUAAUAUACAUGUACAUUAGCCUUAUGCCUUUUGCUCAAGACAGGCAUAAGAGUAAUAUCUCUACAAUUAUUACAUUCCAUCAAAUCACCCUUUUUAGGAAUGAUUGUGAUUACUUCUCUUCCAGUCCUGUGGACAAUAUCUUCAUCUCAGAUCUUCUUCACCAAGGAAUAGAUAAAUUGGAUAGAAGUUACUCCUCUAGCUUAGAUAAUUUUAUUAGUUAUGAGAUCAAAACCAGAUGCUUUGUUAACAUUGAGC
RNAcentral lists this long non-coding RNA (327 nucleotides) under Androctonus crassicauda. Lineage: Eukaryota; Metazoa; Arthropoda; Arachnida; Scorpiones; Buthidae. The record is from RNAcentral.